UGCGUAGGCGGCGCGGUAAGUCGGGUGUGAAAUCUUGGAGCUUAACUCCGAAACUGCAUUCGAAACUGGCGGGCUUGAGGGUUGGAGAGGAGACUGGAAUAGUCGGUGUAGCGGUGAAAUGCGUAGAGAUCGACUAGAACACCGGUGGCGAAGGCGAGUCUCUGGACAAUUCCUAACGCUCAUGCACGAAAGCCAGGGGAGCAAACG
This 207-nucleotide ribosomal RNA is filed under the name uncultured bacterium. RNAcentral describes it as "partial 16S ribosomal RNA". It matches the Rfam family "Bacterial small subunit ribosomal RNA", at positions 568 to 774 of the family's 1533-position model. The record is from RNAcentral.